AUUGAACGCUGGCGGCAGGCCUAACACAUGCAAGUCGAACGAGUGGCGGACGGGUGAGUAAUGUCUGGGAAUCUGCCCUAUGGAGGGGGAUAACUACUGGAAACUGUAGCUAAUACCGCAUACCCUCGGAUGUGCCCAGAUGGGAUUAGCGAGUAGGUGGGUUAACGGCUCACCUAGGCGACGAUCCCUAGCGGGUCUGAGAGGAUGACCAGCCAAACUGGAACUGAGACACGGCCCAGACUCCAACGGGAGGCAGCAGUGGGGAAUAUUGCACAAUGGGGGCAAGCCUGAUGCAGCCAUGCCGCGUGUAUGAAGAAGGCCUUAGGGUUGUAAAGUACUUGCAGUGGGGAGGCGUUACUCACAGAAGAAGCACCGGCUAACUCCGUGCCAGCAGCCGCGGUAAUAC
This 406-nucleotide ribosomal RNA is filed under the name uncultured bacterium. RNAcentral describes it as "partial 16S ribosomal RNA". It matches the Rfam family "Bacterial small subunit ribosomal RNA", at positions 30 to 526 of the family's 1533-position model. The record is from RNAcentral.